This 463-nucleotide ribosomal RNA is filed under the name uncultured bacterium. RNAcentral's name for it is "partial 16S ribosomal RNA". It matches the Rfam family "Bacterial small subunit ribosomal RNA", at positions 28 to 507 of the family's 1533-position model. The record is from RNAcentral.
GACGAACGCUGGCGGCGUGCUUAACACAUGCAAGUCGAACGGAAAGGCCUUUUCGGAGGUACUCGAGUGGCGAACGGGUGAGUAACACGUGGGUGAUCUGCCCUGCACUCUGGGAUAAGCCUGGGAAACUGGGUCUAAUACCGGAUAGGACCGCACUUUAGUGUGUGUGGUGGAAAGUUUUUUCGGUGUAGGAUGAGCCCGCGGCCUAUCAGCUUGUUGGUGGGGUAAUGGCCUACCAAGGCGGCGACGGGUAGCCGGACUGGGAGGUUGGUCGGCCACAUUGGGACUGAGAUACGGCCCAGACUCCUACGGGAGGCAGCAGUGGGGAAUAUUGCACAAUGGGCGCAAGCCUGAUGCAGCGACGCCGCGGGGGGGAUGACGGCCUUCGGGUUGUAAACUCCUUUCGCCAGGGACGAAGCGUUUUGUGACGGUACCUGGAGAAGAAGCACCGGCUAACUACGUG